Molecule: small RNA, 431 nt
Filed under: Pongo abelii (Sumatran orangutan)
Lineage: Eukaryota; Metazoa; Chordata; Mammalia; Primates; Hominidae
Description: retained intron
Source: RNAcentral
UUCCUUCCCUGUUUCUCCUGCGCAAGGGCGCCUGGCGGUGGCGAGAUGGGGGUGAUGGCACACAGCCGUGAGCCUCCGUGAAAGGCGCGGGGCCAGGCAGGUGAAAGCCUGCACCGGGGCAGGCAGUCACAGGAUCCUGGGGCCAGGCGUGGCGGCCCGGCCCAGGCUGAGCAGCCCCUGGCGCAGGUGGACCGGCUGAUCAUCUGCGUGUUCCUCGAGAAGGACGAGGACAUCUACCGGAGCCGGCUCCCCCACUACUUCCCCGUGGCCUGAGGCUCCCGCAGCCCACCCUGACCGGGACCGACCUGCCUUCGGGACCCCGCUCCCAGCUCUGAGAGGUCGCCAAAGCCUGCAGCCUGGCCUGGGCCUGGCCACCCCUUCUUUCCGUCCGAGCCCCGCCCCUGAGGAGCCUAAUAAAGAUCACGUUGUGG